UAGAGAGAGACAUGCGCGCAUAUCAAUAAGCGGAGGAAAAGAAACUAACUAGGAUUCCCUCAGUAACGGCGAGUGAAGCGGGAAGAGCUCAAAUUUGAAAUCUUCAAGGUUCUACCUUGACGAAUUGUAGUUUAAAGAAGUGUUUUCUGUUGAGUUUUGGUAAAAGUUCUUUGGAAUAGGACAUCAUAGAGGGUGAGAAUCCCGUAUUUGACCAUUAUUUCCAGCUUUGUGAUACACUUUCAAAGAGUCGGAUUGUUUGGGAAUGCAGUCCAAAAUGGGUGGUAAAUUUCAUCUAAAGCUAAAUAUUGGCGAGAGACCGAUAGCGAACAAGUACCGUGAGGGAAAGAUGAAAAGAACUUUGAAAAGAGAGUUAAACAGUACGUGAAAUUGUCAAAAGGGAAGCGUUUGACACCAGUGUUGUUUUCUCGAAAAUCAAUUAAAAAAGGCAGGAUUUUGUGUUGUAUUGACUUUAUCAGCUUUCUGCACUCUUUUCUUGUCUUUUUUAAUGCACUUUUCGUUUAACAAGUCAACAUCAAUUUCUUUUGUUGUAAAAGGGUCAUUGGAAGGUGGCUUUCUUUUCGGAGAAAGUGUUUAUAGCCUUUGGCCUCUGCAAUCGGAGAGAUUGAGGUCUGCAGCGUAGAUCCUUCGGGGUUAGAUACAUUUGUGCUAAGUUAUAGCCUUUCAUAGACGACUUGUUGACUAUGAUCAGUCAUGUAGCUUACUCGCUUAUGCUAUUUUACCUACGCUUAGGAUGUUGAUGUGAUACUGCGAGCA
Molecule: ribosomal RNA, 774 nt
Filed under: uncultured Neocallimastigales
Lineage: Eukaryota; Fungi; Neocallimastigomycota; Neocallimastigomycetes; Neocallimastigales
Description: partial large subunit ribosomal RNA
Rfam family: Eukaryotic large subunit ribosomal RNA
Source: RNAcentral